GGUUGUGGCUCAGAGGAAGAGUACUUGCCUGGCACCUGUAAGGCACUGGGUUCAAUUCUCAGCACCA
This 67-nucleotide transfer RNA is filed under the name Marmota monax (woodchuck). RNAcentral's name for it is "tRNA.Ala". Lineage: Eukaryota; Metazoa; Chordata; Mammalia; Rodentia; Sciuridae. The record is from RNAcentral.